GUUGGGAGCGGGAGAUUGACUACAGUUUCAAUCUAUUUCCAUCCAUCAACAUUUAAACCAUCUCGGUGGAGAAAUUUCUUAAUCAGUAACUGCAGAAUUCAAGAGGAUUACAACAGUCAGUCUGGUGUCGAGGUUCUUCUCUGGGCUGGAUACUAACUCUUCAGACUUUAUCAGAGUGUUUGGCAAGAAAGGUGGCACUCAAGGAAGAAAGAUCAGGAGCAUAAUGGUUCCCUUAUUCCAGCAUACUUUCACUGAGACUCCUCAGACCAACAUCAUUGAUGUCAGAAAAGAGUGUAUCCUCAAAGCCGUGUGCGUGUACCUCAACGAAGAGCCCGAGAAGCUAGUGAAAGAUUACAUGGACGCAGAUGUUCUAACGCCAGGCUGAAAUGAAGGAGAUGAUCUUGGAAUCUAUGCAAUUCGAAAAGAGGGUGCAGCGCAAGAGGAUAACCCAGACGAUGUGGGUAUCAUCUUGGAGGGUGUCCAAGUUCUGGAUGAAAUGGGGAAUGUCCCAUUUUCUGUUGCGAUGCUGUUCGCUCUGGUCUACGCACUCAACCUGAGCUACCCUUCAGAGCUAAGAUACACCUUCGAAGUUCUGCAGAAGAUCAUCAUGGAGCUUGAUGGAAACCGACUCUCAAGAAAAGCUCAAGCACUGAAAACCCUGCUUUCACGUACGUGAUCCACUGUAGAGUGACCAAAAGGUCAACUGUUGCUGUUUGAGAGAAAGGAUUUUGGCUUGAAGUGUUCCUCAGAGAAACUAAAAAUGAACAGAGUAUUUUCAAAAGAAACUGUUUCAUAUAGAUUUAGUUCUGCUUAGUACUGCACAACAACAAAUCACAAAACACAACAACAUUUGUUGUUGUGUUUUCUGAUUUGCCUUUGUGAUUUGCACUUCAGGGCAACCGUAGGUUUCCAUAUUAGAUGAUUGACACUUAAUGGUGCACUGUUAAAUGGUUUUGUACUUAAAGUCUUAGCAAAAAAGCAUUUAUUUUAAUGGCUACCAAGUCAAGAUCCAUUUUCAACCGAAGCUUCUGCCUGAUUUUCUUCUUAAUAAAUUUUAUAUAAUGGAAACAUUUUGGAUGUUUAGGCUGAAUGUGAGAGGUUAACAGGGGGCAGGUUCAGACAGUGGUCCCCAGUUUUGUGAUUUUCUUGCUUGUCUGCUUAUUUUUUUAAACAGAUAGCAUAAUGCACAAUCUGUCAGCAUUUCAAAGGUUGAAUCCGGUUGCUGUAU
Labrus bergylta (ballan wrasse) is the source of this 1228-nucleotide non-coding RNA. The record is from RefSeq and is a predicted model, not a curated record. Lineage: Eukaryota; Metazoa; Chordata; Actinopteri; Labriformes; Labridae.